UACAGAGGUCCCGAGCGUUGUUCGGAUUCACUGGGCGUAAAGGGUGCGUAGGUGGUGAGGUAAGUCGGAUGUGAAAUCUCCGGGCUCAACCGGGAGGGUGCGCGGAAAACUGGCGGGCUAGAGUACGGGAUGGGAGAGUAGAAUUCCUGGUGUAGCGGUGAAAUGCGUAGAUAUCAGGAGGAAUACCGGUGGUGUAGACGGCUCUCUGGACCGUAACUGACACUGAGACACGAAAGCGUGGGUAGCAAACAGG
RNAcentral lists this ribosomal RNA (253 nucleotides) under uncultured bacterium. RNAcentral describes it as "partial 16S ribosomal RNA". It matches the Rfam family "Bacterial small subunit ribosomal RNA", at positions 524 to 776 of the family's 1533-position model. The record is from RNAcentral.